UGGGGAAUAUUGCACAAUGGGCGCAAGCCUGAUGCAGCGAUGCCGCGUGUAUGAAGAAGGCCUUCGGGUUGUAAAGUACUUUCAGUCGGGAGGAAGGUGGUAAGGUUAAUAACCUUAUCAAUUGACGUUACCGACAGAAGAAGCACCGGCUAACUCCGUGCCAGCAGCCGCGGUAAUACGGAGGGUGCAAGCGUUAAUCGGAAUUACUGGGCGUAAAGCGCACGCAGGCGGUUGAUUGAGUCAGAUGUGAAAUCCCCGGGCUUAACCCGGGAAUUGCAUCUGAUACUGGUCAGCUAGAGUCUUGUAGAGGGGGGUAGAAUUCCAUGUGUAGCGGUGAAAUGCGUAGAGAUGUGGAGGAAUACCGGUGUCGAAGGCGGCCCCCUGGACAAAGACUGACGCUCAGGUGCGAAAGCGUGGGGAGCAAACAGG
Molecule: ribosomal RNA, 429 nt
Filed under: Chloroflexota bacterium
Lineage: Bacteria; Bacillati; Chloroflexota
Description: Chloroflexi bacterium partial 16S ribosomal RNA
Rfam family: Bacterial small subunit ribosomal RNA
Source: RNAcentral